This is a non-coding RNA of Bubalus bubalis (water buffalo), 72 nucleotides long. NCBI's taxonomy places the organism in Eukaryota, Metazoa, Chordata, Mammalia, Artiodactyla, Bovidae. The record is from the annotation of a RefSeq genome assembly.
UCCCUGGUGGUCCAGUGGUAAGACUCCACGCUCCCAAUGCAGUGGGUCCAGGUUCAAUCCCUGGUCAGGGAA